GGCAAUCUGCCCUGCACUCUGGGACAAGCCCUGGAAACGGGGUCUAAUACCGGAUAUGACUGUCCAUCGCAUGGUGGAUGGUGUAAAGCUCCGGCGGUGCAGGAUGAGCCCGCGGCCUAUCAGCUUGUUGGUGAGGUAGUGGCUCACCAAGGCGACGACGGGUAGCCGGCCUGAGAGGGCGACCGGCCACACUGGGACUGAGACACGGCCCAGACUCCUACGGGAGGCAGCAGUGGGGAAUAUUGCACAAUGGGCGAAAGCCUGAUGCAGCGACGCCGCGUGAGGGAUGACGGCCUUCGGGUUGUAAACCUCUUUCAGCAGGGAAGAAGCGAAAGUGACGGUACCUGCAGAAGAAGCGCCGGCUAACUACGUGCCAGCAGCCGCGGUAAUACGUAGGGCGCAAGCGUUGUCCGGAAUUAUUGGGCGUAAAGAGCUCGUAGGCGGCUUGUCACGUCGGUUGUGAAAGCCCGGGGCUUAACCCCGGGUCUGCAGUCGAUACGGGCAGGCUAGAGUUCGGU
This 518-nucleotide ribosomal RNA is filed under the name Streptomyces sp. RNAcentral describes it as "bacterial SSU rRNA". It matches the Rfam family "Bacterial small subunit ribosomal RNA", at positions 120 to 652 of the family's 1533-position model. The record is from RNAcentral. Lineage: Bacteria; Bacillati; Actinomycetota; Actinomycetes; Kitasatosporales; Streptomycetaceae.